This 1464-nucleotide long non-coding RNA is filed under the name Equus caballus (horse). RNAcentral's name for it is "lncRNA (ENSECAG00000051028.1)". The record is from RNAcentral. Lineage: Eukaryota; Metazoa; Chordata; Mammalia; Perissodactyla; Equidae.
GGAAAUCCCUCUUCUCCUUCUAUUUUCCUGCUGAUCAACAGCUUUGGCCAAAAAGCUAAAGCUUAUUUCUCUGAAUUUUAUUUUUUAAUUUUUAUGUUCUUUGUUUAUUCAAGUUACACAUCUCUUUAAAAGUUAAAAUGUCAUAGAUCUAAACAAAAAGGGCUAAAUCUGUCUGCAGUUCCCUCCGCUUGAAAUAAUCACCAUUAACAAUUGGGUAAACAUUAUCUUAAUUUCCUCUACGAAUAUGCUAAUAGGUGCUUAUUUUUCUAUGAUGUCUUGUUUCAUAUGCCGCUCCUCUAUGCAAUAUAUACCAAGUAGAAGUGGGCCCAUUGCCCAAUCACCACCGCUUCCCGAUACCCACACCUGGGGCUUCUUUGUGUUCAUGCGUCUUUUCUAACGUUAGGAAUCUGUGUGGACCGCUGCCAACGAGACCCGGACUGUGGGACUGGACAGCAGUGUAUCAUGGUGGGAUGUCGUCGAACCUGCGCUCCAGCCCUGGGACCAGGUGUCUGUGUGGAAGAAUGCCAAAGUCACCGAGACUGUGCUGUAGGACGUCUAUGUGUCAGCAAUGGAUGUGGCCGUGUCUGCCGGCCAGCCCAAGACCAAGUUACAGAAGAAACAAAAAGGGGGUUAGCAGCAAUUCGAUCUCCUCUUCUCCCAGGAUGCUGCGGCUGUUGGCCAUUGGUCCCACUCCCUCUACAGAGCCAGCCCAGUUCUGAAAAGACUGUUUUUCAGAUGGAUCAAGACCCAGAACUUGUCCAAGGUUGCCUCCAGGAACUAAUGGACUUUGUGAUGAAAUGUGUAGAGGAGAUGAAGCUUGUCCCAGGGGACAGAAAUGCUGCAGCCAUGGUGGUGGUGGCCACACCUGCCAAAUCGCUAUUCAAGACAUCAGUAUAAGAUAGAGAGCUGUUUACCGGAAGCAUGGGUCUCUGCUGAUCUUUACAGCACAGAAGGGAACCCAUCCGCCCCUCUGCUCACUGAAGUCUGGGUGGCAUGUGGAGAAAGCUGGUUGGUAGCAAAGAGCAGGAAUUUCUGGAAAGUGUCGUGAAUAUCUUGGUGUUGUAGGAGGAAGAUUUCCUUAUCCGUUUGGAUGAUUAAUCAACCUUAGCCUCCUUCAGUGACCAUUCCCAAAUGUCACCUUUAUGCCGGUACCUGGUGUUGGGCUUUCUACUAUCUUUUCCUGGCUACUUUCUAUUCCUGGAACCCCAGUACCAUAUGAUUAGGAUCUGUAAUAACUUUGGCAUCAGUGUUCAGUUCUGGCAAUUACUACAGAAAUCAUGGGGUGAAUGCUUCCAAAAUAAUCCUUCUUCUGAAUAAAAUUAUUUCUGUGGCAUUAGCCAACCUGAAUCAUCAUUUCUGUGUAAGACUUCAGCUAAUUUACAUUAGUACCUCCACCCCCAACAAGUAUUUAACCCCAACCAGUGGAACCUGUCUCUGUUUCUUUAUCCCUCAGCCCUCAUAUCA